GUAAGUUAUGUAUGUGUAAAUUAUGGUAAAUGAGUCAUAUUGUUUGAUAUUGUUUUGGCAUGUAUUUGGCAAAGUAAAUGGUAGUUAUUUGAGAUUUGGAAUAGAUGAAAUUUCAAUGGUAUGAAUUAUGCAUUUUGUUGAUGAUUUUGGCUGCCUAAUUGUAUGAUGAAAUGGUGCCAUUUUGCCUUUUGUAGGUACAUUGAAG
Molecule: long non-coding RNA, 205 nt
Filed under: Gossypium barbadense (sea-island cotton)
Lineage: Eukaryota; Viridiplantae; Streptophyta; Magnoliopsida; Malvales; Malvaceae
Description: long non-coding RNA (GBAR_LNC002623)
Source: RNAcentral